This 248-nucleotide unclassified non-coding RNA is filed under the name Hevea brasiliensis (rubber tree). The record is from RNAcentral. Lineage: Eukaryota; Viridiplantae; Streptophyta; Magnoliopsida; Malpighiales; Euphorbiaceae.
AUCUAAUAUGCAAAAUACAAUUAACUAUAUAGCACAAUCUGUACACUAAAGAUUAAUAAGUGAAAAUAAAAAUUAGCGUGAGGGGAGUGUCCCACAAUGGUUUGGGAUAAAGUAUUUGUGAUAAAUAUAAGAGUUGGACAAAUCUCCUCCUUUUGAGUUAACUUUUGGAGUGGACUUAAGCCCGUCCAUUUUUUCUAUAUUGCUCAUCUAAAACAUAACUCCGCGCUAAGUAGUUUGCGCUUAGCCGG